CUCAAACAACUGCUGGAGGACAGCAGAGCUAUUCUGGAUCAGACCAACUUAGUUCUGGUCCCAAUAAACAUCACCACAGUAUCUUCAUGGUGAGUCUUGUGUACUUUAUCAUAUAAUCAUCAAAGUUAUAAAAAUGAAAAUGCAAAAAAAAAAAGUGCUCCUACACUGACCAGCCACACCAUUAUGUACACCUGUACAAUCUGAUGCAACAGCUCUGUCAUGAGUUCUACUUUUACAAGGGUAUAAGGUUUUAUGUUUAAACGAUCAGAGAGAGGAUAAUUCUGCUGUGAGUUUAUUUUUGUGGUUUCAAUGGGUGGUGGAGGCAUGUAACGUUUAGUUUCUUUUAAACAGUCUGUUUAAAAAAAACUAAACAUUACAUUGAAAAUGGAAGACAAAAAGAAUCUACCGGUAAUUGCUUUAUUAGGUGGUGGAGGGAUACUAGAGUGCAUUAUAUUAAGAAGAGUUUCUAAUAUUUUGGCACACUAAUUUGAAAAAUUAUUGUAACCGUAACGCUAACCAUUGCAGGCUGCCCAGGAGGGACAAAUGGACAGACAAGGACAUGCUGCUGCAGGGCACUGUACUUCCCAAACAAGUGCACCUGGCAAGGGAGCCACUGCCUGAAGUGCGGACACUUCCAGCUGCUCCUGCAGAGCAUGGACAUGAAGCCAUGGUAUUUGAGGAACGAGAAAAUCAGGAGGGGAAAUCCACUAUUCGGAGGCGCACCUCAGACAGGUCAGUGGUAGCACAAUGUCCUGCAUGGUCAUGGCCCACCCCUCCUCCUGGAUCCUACCCACCUGCUCCACCCUCUCCAUAUCCCGCCCCUGGAUUCUACUCAUUUCCUAACUACCCACCCACUCCACUACAUCUUCCAUUUCCUUCUCCUGGAUGCUACUUACCAAUUCCACACUGCCCACCUCCUCCACAGUCAUUGCUUGCUGGUAACCAGCCACCUGUUACUCAUCCCCAACUUUGCCCUACUACUGAGCCUAGGCAGCGCGCUUGGAGGAAGCAGAAACAUGCACAGGAAGAUGCUGAGAGAGUGGCUAGGGGUGAACCACCACGGAAGCGCAUUACAAAGGAUGAAUAUCAUUAUACCUGCAAGAUCUGUCAGAAGGCAAAAAAUAAAGAAACUGGCCACACUCAGCUGAAGGGAAAGUGGCAUUGUCUAGCCUCAGGACUCUCCUUGGCACAAUGGAGGGAGAAUUUAAAUGGCAUUUUUUUAAGUGUGUGUGUAUUUGAAAAAGCGUUUGUACAUAAUUAAAAUGUUGUGCUUUGUGUUUGUUUGCAUAUAUUAAAAAUAAACAAUAAAGAAAAACAAUAAACACACACCCAUCCUGUGGGUGGAAGACUCCAGGUGCAAAUCCUGGCAAGAGUGUGUGAUGGUCAAGAUCAGACCUAAUUACUUUAUUCAGAACUUUGUGACUGGAAAUGAUAUCAAAUUGGGAGGUCACUCAAUAUUCUGGCCUAAUAUAAAUGUUUUUAACUUGGUGCUAUCAGAAACACCUUAAUAUAGGCCAGCCCAGUACAUGGCCUUCAUUAGGACCAGACUGCUAAAACACAGAAUUCAGUUAAUACGUGUUUCACAGUGUCAGCACAAACCUAUGCUAACAGGCAUCAUAAGUCAGUGAGAUAUAACAGUUGAUUGUAUUAGUAUGUAUUCACAAUUGUAAAUUCCUUGAUCUGUAUAUAUACAGCUGCAUGCUUUCAGUUUACCUUCCACUUACACAUCAAAUAGGAUUGUGUGUCAUGUUUUUGGCUGUGAUGUUUUUUAGAGGGAUGUUCUGACCCCGGAAAAGACACUUUACCCCCACAGCGAGGAUGGAAGUGCAGAUACAGAUGAUCAGAGCCCAGGAACAAGCCAACCUAAGAGGCCCUUAGAGAAAAAGAAAAGAGGAAAACGGGCCAAGACAGUGAAAGCAGUGGGAGAUUCUGACCUGUUGUCUCCGAUAAAGACACUUUGCCCCCACAGCGAGGAUGGAAGUUCAGAUACAGAUGAUCAGAGCCCAGGAACAAGCCAACCUAAGAGGCCCUUA
Monopterus albus (swamp eel) is the source of this 2033-nucleotide long non-coding RNA. RefSeq lists it as uncharacterized. NCBI's taxonomy places the organism in Eukaryota, Metazoa, Chordata, Actinopteri, Synbranchiformes, Synbranchidae. The transcript is spliced from 4 exons. The record is from RefSeq and is a predicted model, not a curated record.